UAAUCUGUCUGGAGCAUAUUCUCAUUUAGUUAUAACAGACUCAUAUUUCUUAAAAUCAACCGUUAUCCCUCAAUUAUAUUAAAGAGCAGGUUCAAUGA
Populus trichocarpa (black cottonwood) is the source of this 98-nucleotide non-coding RNA. Lineage: Eukaryota; Viridiplantae; Streptophyta; Magnoliopsida; Malpighiales; Salicaceae. The record is from Rfam.